Molecule: ribosomal RNA, 253 nt
Filed under: uncultured bacterium
Lineage: Bacteria
Description: partial 16S ribosomal RNA
Rfam family: Bacterial small subunit ribosomal RNA
Source: RNAcentral
UACGAAGGGUGCAAGCGUUACUCGGAAUUACUGGGCGUAAAGCGUGCGUAGGUGGUUUGUUAAGUCUGCUGUGAAAGCCCCGGGCUCAACCUGGGAAUGGCAGUGGAUACUGGCAAGCUAGAGUGCGGUAGAGGGUAGUGGAAUUCCCGGUGUAGCGGUGAAAUGCGUAGAGAUCGGGAGGAACACCAGUGGCGAAGGCGGCUACCUGGACCAGCACUGACACUGAGGCACGAAAGCGUGGGGAGCAAACAGG